GUGGGGAAUAUUGCGCAAUGGGCGAAAGCCUGACGCAGCAACGCCGUGUGAGGGAUGAAGGCUUUCGGGUCGUAAACCUCUGUCGGAAGGGAAGAACGGGUGGUGGUCUAAUAGGCCUCCAUUUUGACGGUACCUUUAGAGGAAGCACCGGCUAACUCCGUGCCAGCAGCCGCGGUAAUACGGAGGGUGCAAGCGUUAUUCGGAAUUACUGGGCGUAAAGCGCACGUAGGCGGCCUUGUAAGUCAGGGGUGAAAUCCCACGGCUCAACCGUGGAACUGCCUUUGAAACUGCAGGGCUUGAAUCCUGGAGAGGGUGGCGGAAUUCCUGGUGUAGGAGUGAAAUCCGUAGAUAUCAGGAGGAACACCGGUGGCGAAGGCGGCCACCUGGACAGGUAUUGACGCUGAGGUGCGAAAGUGUGGGGAGCAAACAGGAUUAGAAACCCUAGUAGUCC
This 451-nucleotide ribosomal RNA is filed under the name uncultured Desulfomicrobiaceae bacterium. RNAcentral's name for it is "bacterial SSU rRNA". It matches the Rfam family "Bacterial small subunit ribosomal RNA", at positions 354 to 796 of the family's 1533-position model. Lineage: Bacteria; Pseudomonadati; Thermodesulfobacteriota; Desulfovibrionia; Desulfovibrionales; Desulfomicrobiaceae. The record is from RNAcentral.